GAGUGAACGCUGGCGGUAGGCCUAACACAUGCAAGUCGAACGGCAGCACAGUAAGAGCUUGCUCUUACGGGUGGCGAGUGGCGGACGGGUGAGGAAUACAUCGGAAUCUACUUUUUCGUGGGGGAUAACGUAGGGAAACUUACGCCAAUACCGCAUACGACCUACGGGUGAAAGCAGGGGAUCUUCGGACCUUGCGCGAUUGAAUGAGCCGAUGUCGGAUUAGCUAGUUGGCGGGGUAAAGGCCCACCAAGGCGACGAUCCGUAGCUGGUCUGAGAGGAUGAUCAGCCACACUGGAACUGAGACACGGUCCAGACUCCUACGGGAGGCAGCAGUGGGGAAUAUUGGACAAUGGGCGCAAGCCUGAUCCAGCCAUACCGCGUGGGUGAAGAAGGCCUUCGGGUUGUAAAGCCCUUUUGUUGGGAAAGAAAAGCAGCAGGUUAAUACCCCGCUGUUCUGACGGUACCCAAAGAAUAAGCACCGGCUAACUUCGUG
Molecule: ribosomal RNA, 493 nt
Filed under: uncultured bacterium
Lineage: Bacteria
Description: partial 16S ribosomal RNA
Rfam family: Bacterial small subunit ribosomal RNA
Source: RNAcentral